Molecule: long non-coding RNA, 220 nt
Filed under: Solanum tuberosum (potato)
Lineage: Eukaryota; Viridiplantae; Streptophyta; Magnoliopsida; Solanales; Solanaceae
Description: long non-coding RNA (STUB_LNC010849)
Source: RNAcentral
UCUUCACUAUCAAUACCCAAAUUAAAAUAUAUUUUAUCAACCAUUCGUGAUGCACCUUCAUCUUUGUAAUGUGGGUUUAACAAACAAGCAGUUAAAUAAAUUUGAGGAAUAGGAAUAAAAUAUUUUUAAAAUUUUUCAAUCAUUUUCUUAACAGAUUCUUCAAAUCUUGAUUUAUUUUUGAAUUUAUAAAAUUUACUAGAAAUAACACAAAUAUUAGGUA